UGAGGAAUAUUGGUCAAUGGACGCAAGUCUGAACCAGCCAAGUAGCGUGCAGGAUGACGGCCCUAUGGGUUGUAAACUGCUUUUAUAUGGGGAUAAAGUGGGGAACGUGUUCCCUUUUGCAGGUACCAUAUGAAUAAGGACCGGCUAAUUCCGUGCCAGCAGCCGCGGUAAUACGGAAGGUUCGGGCGUUAUCCGGAUUUAUUGGGUUUAAAGGGAGCGUAGGCCGUUUGGUAAGCGUGUUGUGAAAUGUAGGAGCUCAACUUCUAGAUUGCAGCGCGAACUGUCAGACUUGAGUGCGCACAACGUAGGCGGAAUUCAUGGUGUAGCGGUGAAAUGCUUAGAUAUCAUGAAGAACUCCGAUUGCGAAGGCAGCUUACGGGAGCGCAACUGACGCUUAAGCUCGAAGGUGCGGGUAUCGGACAGG
Molecule: ribosomal RNA, 424 nt
Filed under: Verrucomicrobiota bacterium
Lineage: Bacteria; Pseudomonadati; Verrucomicrobiota
Description: Verrucomicrobia bacterium partial 16S ribosomal RNA
Rfam family: Bacterial small subunit ribosomal RNA
Source: RNAcentral